ACUAAAUGCAUUGAUGUGGAAAAAAAAAGAACUAAAAAUCUGUUGAAGAAGGUGAACCAACCAAACAAAAUUUGGAAUUCUCAAAAUGCUCCGAGCAUGGAAAUUCCUUGUGAAGAUCCUUGCGCUGAUUUAUUCUUGAUUUACAAAAUCAGGUGUUUUUACACCCAGUGAUGACCUGGCAAAUGAGUUACCUGCAGCCUUAGAGGUAAGUGGUGAAAAACUUUAGAGGAUGUCCCUGGAAGAAAGUUACAGGGAGUUCAUGAAAUCUGGAGUGGCUGAUAUGGUUAGCACCGGUAGUUGCCGAGGUGGUUCCAUGAUUACAGCUCUUUUCUUGAAGUAGGUAUAGCUCCCCCCACCGCCACAACCUUUCUUUCUUGUUGAAUCAGCAUUUUGACAAUAUUAAGUUUGUUUUACCUUAUGUGCAUUUGGUGCAUACUAAAUUAGCUUUUUACUGAACCAUUUUGAAAAUUGCGGAAUAGUUGUAAAUCUAAUGGCCUAAUUUGUAGUUUGGAAUGGUUAUAAUAGCAAGUAGGUUGAUUUCAAAUGUAGAAAAUUGGCAAUUUGGAAGGGGGCUUCAAAUGUUGGACCGAUGGGGCUUAUUUCUGAUGGCAAAAAACAAAAAACAAAAUGUUCCUAUUGUCAGAAGAAAUCGCCUAUUUGUAUUGGCUAAGUUCACAAACUGGAGAUACAUGGGUCGUUGUGGGAGUUUAGUUUAUGUCUAUGUCUGAGCAUAGAUUACGUUAGUGUCGCAAUGAUUGUUGCUCACUUGAAGGCAUUUGUGUCAAAUUUGAAUUGAGAGAGGUGAUAAAUUAGUAGCAAACUAACACUCCAAAUGGUGAAAGAAUCACCCGCACUCUAUCUCGAUUGGAUUAAUAAGGGAUUUUUUUUUUAUGGACCAUUGUCUCACACAGUUGCCUCUCUUGAAAAGCUUGGCAGCAUUCAACUCUCUCUUGUGUCCUCUAAUUUUCUUCUACAUCAUUCUUCUUCUUCGAACACACCUAGCAGAAAUGGACUCUCUUAUUUAUCCUUCUACAGAUUUCAUCCAACCUGCGGUAGAAGCUAGUAUUGACAUUAAAAUAUACCCAUUUUCUUAAAAGUCUAUUUACACUUCUAUUACAGCCAAUCCAAUUUUGAAAUCUCUCUGCAACUCUCCAAAAUUGGCCUACGAAAAUUUUGAGAAUCUGAAAAAAUCGAGACCACCAUUUUCGUGUUGUCUACAAAUUGAAUGUCGAGGCAAUUAGUUUCAACAUAAGUUGCUUCUCGACCGCAAGGCCAAGGGAUGCAUCGCCGCGAUAAAGACAAAGGCAACAAAUUCACCACCGAGGACAUCAUGCAUACCGUUGAUUAGUUUGGUAAUUAUCGACUACUUUGGAAUCUUUGAGUUUGUUGUUGUUGUUUUUGACAUUACAUAUUGCAUCUUAGUUACGGUAAGAGAGAAACUAUGUUUGUGCUCCUAUUUUUUUGGUAUUUUGAUGGAUUGAUGGAUUUUGAUUUUAAUUUUGUUAUAUUCAAUGGUGAUGGUUGCAAAUCUUGAUAUUGAAUUAAUUAGUAUAAUCUGUGUGCUCGCUUCUAUAAUUAUUACUUAAGAUUUUGUGGUAAUUAAAAAUCUCAUUAUUGGGUUAGGAUUGGGUAAUCGUGUCAUAUUUUGGCAAAUGAUUUGAUUAACUUUGUGAAUAAGUGGUUGUGCUUAACAUUUGUAUUGAGUAUUACUUAACAAAUUGUUGAAAUAUUAACUUUUUGGUCGUGAUAAUGUAAUAUUAAAAUCGUUUUAGGUUAAUUACUGAUGUCAAUAGUGGAAUGAAUGUUAUUUAUGAAUUUGUUCUUGGAAAAAAAUUUGAUGGAAUUACAAAUUGAAAUAUAUUGGUACUAGCUGGAGUUUAUACUAGAGAGAAACUUUGACUAAUAUAUUUAAUGAAUUGGAAUUGAUUUUCAUAAAAUAUUGUUUGUUCGAUGAAUCUUCGAACUUGAGAUUGUUUUGCACAUUUUGUGUUUAUGAUAAUUAAAUAUCAACCAUAGCUUCUCUUCGAACUUGUACAUGAGGAGUUACAUAUGACAUGUCAAAAAGAGAAUAAGAAUGUUUUUUUUGACGAAAUUCGGACCAAAUGAUAUCUAGCCACAACAUGUGUACGUAAAUCAUUAUGUAAAUCGCUAGAUACAUUCUUUUGCACACUAGUAGUACCAACGAUUUUGUAAUCAUCACUUUUAUGGUGCAGUUAUGUUUUACUCUAUGUGAUUGUGACCUUGCAUUUUACAUUUCCGGUGUCAGAAGUGCUUUUAGAUUCAAGAUUUUGCUAAAGCAAAGAUUAUGUGCCAUUUUAUUAUUGAAUUUAAAAUUAGCAGAUUGUUCCAUAAAACUCGUAUGCAAUAAGUCGUUUGAGAAAACAUUUGAAUUAAUAAUAAUUCAGUAUGAUUAACAAAAUUUUGUCAGCAAUAUGAGUAUUCGAUAAACAAUCAUCUAUUUUCUUCAAAAAUUUAUAGCACAUCAAUUGCUCUAUUUAUUUCAUUUGGUAAAUGGCACCUUUAGAGUGUCAUCUCCCAACAUAAAUUAUCUCCAAUAACUGUCCGAACAUCCACAUGUUUUUUAUACCCUCAAGUGAUGAGGUAUGUCGAUUCGAGAUGUGCUUUAGUUUAGGGUGCACGAUUUUGUUAUCUUUUCCCCUCAAUUCUUUUAUCUACAGAAAGUCUUAGGCCAAUAUUUAUGUUGGGCUUGAUUGAAUUCUUUCUCAGUUUAGGAAUUUUUCAUUUUGCACUUGUAAAGAUUAUUUGGGCUUAAAAGUUUGAGCUGUGUUUCAUUUGCGUAUCCUUGUGAUUGAACAGAAAAUAUUGUACAGUAAUAACAUUCUAUUGCUUCAGUAAUAUUUUUUGCACUCAUGUUUCAUUUUGAAUUGGAGUAUAUUGGUCAUAGGUGGCUCUUGGAGGAGUGGUUCAUUCAUUGUGCUUGCAAUUGUUCUCUUUGGUAAUUAUGUCAUUUUUAUUUUCUCAUGUGUUUUUGUCCCCAUUUGUUCUGAUUCAGUGGCUUUGAUUUUGCCUAAAAAAGGGCAAAGGAAGCUUCUAAUGCUCAAUGAUGAUUCUUUUUUUUUUCAUUUCUCAUAGUUUUUUAAUAUUUCUUUAUCUUUUAUUCUUUUGUGUUUUGUUUCGUUGAUUUUGAAGAUAAAAUGUUCCCUACAAUUUAAGGAUAUAAGUAAAACAUGCAGAAAUGAAAAUUUUGAUCAUAAUCUUAUUUUCAUGAAUGGUGUAUUAGUUGAGGGGUGUAUGAUUGUAGCUUGAAAUAGCAAAUUAACGUUAUUGAAUAACAUAUGGAUAAUUUCGAUAUCUUAAUUUAAUCCACUUUGAUGAGCUAACUAUUUUGAUGUAAUACCAAAAUCAUUAUUGUAUAGAUUUUAUUAGUUUAUGAUGCGCUUGUUGAAAGCAUUUUGUAGAUUCUUUCAUGCCUUUUUUCAGGGUGCAACUUGUGUUUCAACACUCAAUUUGGAAAGUAAUUGAUCUAAAAAGUUAAUGGCAAAAUAUUAGUGCUGAAAGGAGUAGUAAAAAAUGAAAGUCAGAGCAUGAAUGGCAACCUUGUCUACUUUAGAAUGUCAAAUGCGGAUUGAAAUUGUACAAGCUAGAAAAAUAGGUAUGCUUAUAGUCUUCCAUAAAAGCAAUCAAAAAUUGCAUGAUUUUUCUAAUCCUGACUAUGGGAUUGUAUUGGCAUAUUUAAUAUAGCUGAAUUGAUCUUUGGCUUAGUAUAAUGCUUUUGACAUAUGUCUGUUGUUCGCAUCUCUCACCCUUGUUUGAUGUCAAUAACGUUCAAGUGAUCAAUUCUAGACGUGAUGCUUCAAACUUUUCGAGUUCAGGUCAUCACUCGGAGAACAUCCGUAACCACUCCAUUUAGAGCCUCCAUUUCGAUUUCCCAGGUGAGGAUGACACUUUCUUCCAUUUCUUUUUGGGUUAGACACAAUUGAUUAACAUACAUUUCUACUAGUUUUGAACCUAUGCUAGUUAUGGUCAAUUAUGCACACAUAAGCACGUCCAUUACACAUUUCUUAUUAUGUUCGUCAUAUAACCCGACCCUUUUUGCCUCAAAAAAUUAAUACACCUGUACAGUCGGUUUUAGUGACUCAUGCAACGCAUUGGGUGUGGUUCAAAUGAUGCUUCACAUAAGAAUUACACGCUCAUGGUGGUAUACAUGUCAAAAUUAUAUUGUUUCUGUAUUCACUUUAGUUGCCCAGCUCACUUUAGCAGGCAGAUAAAAUCGAGGCGAACUGUCGUUCUCGACAGUUAACCUCAGCCAUUCUUGACAAUUGGCCUUUCCAAUCAUUUGUGGAGAUUAACCGUCGAUAUCGACAGAUGAACUGUCCAUACCUACGGUUGAUGCCAGUUUUGUACCCUUGCAAAUACCUUCAAUUUGUUUAUCAUCCGUGCCGACAUCUGUACCCUUGCACAUACCUUCAUUUUGUUUACACAAUCUUAAUUUGAAUGUUUUGAUGCGAUGAAAUUGUCAUUAUUGGUGAUGUUGCUCGAUAUUAAGAGAAUUUUGUAGUUGAAUGGAACUUUCACUUAUUUAAUACUCUUCACUUAUCUUUCUAGCUUCAUCACUUUCGUAUGUUAUAUGUUAGACUUUUCAUUGUUCAAGGCUUACAUUUUAUCUUGUUAUCAUACAAAGUAGACAUUGAAAUCAUGUCCAAUACCAUGUUGGAACCAAUCGAUGUCCCUGUCAAAUAAAGAGCGACGUUGACAAUGUUCCACUUCGGGUGACUGCGGAGAAUGCAUUGAGGAAUAUUUUGUUUUACAUCAUUGUAUAUUUGUUUUUUGGGAAAUGUUGGUUAUGUUCAAGUGACAUUCAUUGUCAAAGAAACUGUUUGGAUUUAGUACGGAAAAUGUUGGUACAAAAACUGUUUCUGGCGUACUUUGUAAGUUUCUUUCUUUUUGAACUCGUUUGACCUAGAG
This 4926-nucleotide long non-coding RNA is filed under the name Olea europaea subsp. europaea. The record is from RNAcentral. Lineage: Eukaryota; Viridiplantae; Streptophyta; Magnoliopsida; Lamiales; Oleaceae.